GAACGCUAGCGGCAGGCUUAAUACAUGCAAGUCGUGGGGCAGCAUGAGUAGCAAUACUUGAUGGCGACCGGCAAACGGGUGAGGAACACGCACACAACCUUCCUUCAAGCGGGGAAUAGCCCAGAGAAAUUUGGAUUAAUACCCCAUAAUAUAUUUGAUAAGGCAUCUUAUUAAUAUUAAAGCUUCGGCACUUGAUGAUGGGUGUGCGGCUGAUUAGAUAGUUGGCGGGGUAACGGCCCACCAAGUCUACGAUCAGUAGCUGAUGUGAGAGCAUGAUCAGCCACACGGGCACUGAGACUCGGGCCCGACUCCUACGGGAGGCAGCAGUAAGGAAUAUUGGACAAUGGACGAAAGUCUGAUCCAGCCAUGCCGCGUGAAGGAUUAAGGUCCUCUGGAUUGUAAACUUCUUUUAUAUGGGACGAAAAAAGGGCAUUCUUGUUCACUUGACGGUACCAUAUGAAUAAGCACCGGCUAACUCCGUG
This 482-nucleotide ribosomal RNA is filed under the name uncultured bacterium. RNAcentral's name for it is "bacterial SSU rRNA". It matches the Rfam family "Bacterial small subunit ribosomal RNA", at positions 31 to 507 of the family's 1533-position model. The record is from RNAcentral.